RNAcentral lists this ribosomal RNA (468 nucleotides) under uncultured bacterium. RNAcentral's name for it is "partial 16S ribosomal RNA". It matches the Rfam family "Bacterial small subunit ribosomal RNA", at positions 28 to 507 of the family's 1533-position model. The record is from RNAcentral.
GACGAACGCUGGCGGCGUGCUUAACACAUGCCAGUCGAACGGAAAGGCCCUGCUUUUGUGGGGUGCUCGAGUGGCGAACGGGUGAGUAACACGUGAGUAACCUGCCCUUGACUUUGGGAUAACUUCAGGAAACUGGGGCUAAUACCGGAUAGGAGCUCCUGCUGCAUGGUGGGGGUUGGAAAGUUUCGGCGGUUGGGGAUGGACUCGCGGCUUAUCAGCUUGUUGGUGGGGUAGUGGCUUACCAAGGCUUUGACGGGUAGCCGGCCUGGGAGGGUGACCGGCCACAUUGGGACUGAGAUACGGCCCAGACUCCUACGGGAGGCAGCAGUGGGGAAUAUUGCACAAUGGGCGGAAGCCUGAUGCAGCAACGCCGCGUGCGGGAUGACGGCCUUCGUGUUGUAAACCGCUUUCGCCUGUGACGAAGCGUGAGUGACGGUAAUGGGUAAAGAAGCACCGGCUAACUACGUG